Molecule: long non-coding RNA, 260 nt
Organism: Pseudopipra pipra
Lineage: Eukaryota; Metazoa; Chordata; Aves; Passeriformes; Pipridae
Exons: 3
Source: RefSeq, a predicted model, not a curated record
AGUGGUGGCACUGCCAGCCCUGCAGUGGGAUGUAGCCUGGAAACUGCAGAGAGCUGAGCCAAGGGAUUGAAAGGGACCAAGCAAGGGAGGUGAAGAAAGAAGGAAGAAGGGAAGUGAGGCAGCAGCCAAGCAGCAGCAAGUUGCUGUGUAAGCAGAAGUUGCACUUGAUGAACUUCCCAUCUGAGCUGAUGCCCUUGGCAGGAGAAGUGCUCAGCAAGGAGGCUCUUUGCUCCUAGGCAGGAAGAAAGGCCAGUGCCCUU